RNAcentral lists this small nuclear RNA (164 nucleotides) under Dendronephthya gigantea. RNAcentral describes it as "U1 spliceosomal RNA". It matches the Rfam family "U1 spliceosomal RNA". From Rfam's summary of the family: U1 is a small nuclear RNA (snRNA) component of the spliceosome (involved in pre-mRNA splicing). Lineage: Eukaryota; Metazoa; Cnidaria; Anthozoa; Malacalcyonacea; Nephtheidae. The record is from RNAcentral.
AUACUUACCUGACGCGAGAGGCACCUUGAUCAACUAGGAGGUCCUCUCAAGAUGAGGCCCUUUCAUUGCACUUCGACUGGGUUGACUCCUGCGAUUACCCCUAAUGUGGGUAACUCGAGCGUAUAAUUUCUGGUAGUGGGGACCUGCGUUCGCGCUCGUCCCCU